Molecule: microRNA precursor, 88 nt
Filed under: Solanum tuberosum (potato)
Lineage: Eukaryota; Viridiplantae; Streptophyta; Magnoliopsida; Solanales; Solanaceae
Description: MIR8024 microRNA precursor family
Rfam family: MIR8024 microRNA precursor family
Source: Rfam by way of RNAcentral
UUGAAGAAUUUGAAGACAUCAACUUGCAGACUUUGAAGAAUUUGAAGACCUCAACUUGCAGACUUUGAAGAAUUUGAAGACUUCAACU